AGAAUGCCCUGUGGGUCUUGCUGCCCAAGACGCGUGGACAGAGUGCUGUGGUGACGGUACUAGCUGUCCUUCCGGAAGUGUGAGCUGACUGUUGGGUUUGGUUGACGCCUGGAGGAGCGGGCUGAAGUCUCACCCAGGGAGUCCCUGCAGACGGACAGUACAGUUCCUGUCUUUAGCCAUUGGCCUUCCAGGCACAGAAGCAGCUUUCCAGCCCUGGCAUCAGACGAUGUCAUAGUAAAGAACUCUUAUGCUCAAAUGACCAGCGACAUGACACCGUGUGGAGAGAGCUGCUAACCUGAGGAAAACGAGCCAGCCGAUGUCUUCUCUGGAUACUUGGUUAAAAAGUUUUGCCAUGUGCUGCCAGAGUGGUGAGGCCAAGGUUGACUGCCUGGGUCUUUUGUGUAUGAUGUUAUGUGACAAUUUUAUCGAAGAAUUUGGUGACAGGAAGAUGUGUUCUCUCCUGAAGAGCAGAUUUCCCUCCAUUAUCAACCAAGAGGAUAAACGAGGGUCUGUGUGUGCUGGACUCUCUGGCUGCCUCAGCGGCGUGGCGAGCAGACAAGUAUCCCAUCGCAACCUCCCCUCGCUCUUCCUCAGUCCGGCUUCUGCACUCUCUGACCAGGUCAUACCUCUUCUGCUGCAAAUAGCUCUGCAUCUUGCCGUGCUUUCUGAGAAGCAGAGAGGAGAAGGCAUGAAAAAGUGCUGGGAACAUGUGAAACGGGCUGUAGCCUCAUGUGAACAAUGAUUUCUUUCUUUUUUUAAAUUUUUUUUUUCAUUGAAUCACCAUGAGAUACAGUUACAAAGCAUUCGUGAUCGGGUUUCAGUCAUACAAUGUUCCCGCACCUUCACCCAUCCUUCACCCACCACCCAUCCUGCUGCUGCUGCUGCUGCUUCUGCUUCCUCUACUUAUUCUGCUUCUUCCUCCUCCUCC
Long non-coding RNA from Sorex araneus (European shrew), 928 nucleotides. RefSeq lists it as uncharacterized. Lineage: Eukaryota; Metazoa; Chordata; Mammalia; Eulipotyphla; Soricidae. The transcript has 3 exons. The record is from RefSeq and is a predicted model, not a curated record.